This 258-nucleotide long non-coding RNA is filed under the name Fukomys damarensis (Damara mole-rat). RNAcentral describes it as "lncRNA (ENSFDAG00000030213.1)". Lineage: Eukaryota; Metazoa; Chordata; Mammalia; Rodentia; Bathyergidae. The record is from RNAcentral.
CUUGUAAACUGCCUUUUGGAUGAGCAAAGAGCAAUGGAGUAUGAAGUCAUCAAACUUUGACAUAGAAGUUUUUCAGUCUCUGCUGGAAUUGAAAAGUGAAUCCCAUUCACUAAGGAGACAGGGACCAGAGGGACAUUCCUGGUGGGACAAAGACACAUGAAGAAAAAAGUAAUCUAUGAAACAGCCUUGUGAGUGUCAAACAGAGAGAAGCACUGCAAAGGAACAUGAAGCUUGAGAGUGACUGAGCUGAAAAGGAGG